GAUUCCGUAGUACAGUGGUUAUCACGUGCGCCUAACACGCGCAAGGUCCCCGGUUCGAGCCCGGGCGGGAUCA
This 73-nucleotide transfer RNA is filed under the name Patiria miniata (bat star). RNAcentral describes it as "tRNA-Val". The record is from RNAcentral. Lineage: Eukaryota; Metazoa; Echinodermata; Asteroidea; Valvatida; Asterinidae.